UGUCUAUUUUAACUUGUCAGUGACAUGGCUCGUGUGAAUAUGAACCUUCUGCAUUGUUUCAGCACCGGGGUGUCAGAGUACUGGCCUGCGACGUGUUUUUUAAUCAUUAUUAAAUCCUCAACCCGCAUAAAAUCUGAAUUUGUGUGAAUUGGGAACACUGAAUGUAACGGACAUUUAAUGUCAUUAUAAUAGAAUAUUUAUGUGUGACAGAUAUUAACAUCCAUGGACACUGUUACCUGUCAAUUUUCAACAGUGUAUGUCAAUUGAAUAAGGAGAGCAGCUUCUUAAAAAUGUCUCCAUGCAUGGAGUUUAAGUAUUUCAUUUGAUAUUUGUUGGGAUGCAAACUGUUCUUUAUUGUUUAGUUACUUUUAAACUAGUCAUGCAAACGUAAAGGUAAAUACCACUUUGUGGUUCCUACAUGACUUGUUUGACAAAAAUCUGUUAAUAUGAAAUGAAUCAGCUGACAGUCGCCCUUUUACAGGGAUCACAUGACAAUCAGGAGAUGGAGCCAUUUUCACCUGCUGAUCACAAUGAGCCAAACACAGAGGUUACAGAGGAGAGCAGCACUGAAAUCUGAUGGAUUCUAACCACACUGUAUUGUUGUCCGAUUGCCUACAGUCUUACGUUUCCAAGUCCUGUUGUAUAACCAAGCUGGUCAGAUGAACAGUCACCAGAUUAUCAAUGAUCUGUUACAUUUAAUUUUAUUUGACUUGAAAGACUUUUCUGGGUAGCAGAUGGACAUUUGCUUGUACAGACUGGCAUGGAAAAGUGUAUCUGCAAAGACUCAUACUGGGAAGAACCAGUAACUCAGGACAACCUGCCAGUCUUUUGUAAAUAUGUGUGUGUGAUUUUCUCACCUUUAUUGUGUUCUUUACAGUAUUAAAAUGUACAUUAUAAUUAUCUGUAAUUAUUCUGAAUAAAUUCUCAGUGUUUUU
Non-coding RNA from Paramormyrops kingsleyae, 935 nucleotides. NCBI's taxonomy places the organism in Eukaryota, Metazoa, Chordata, Actinopteri, Osteoglossiformes, Mormyridae. The record is from RefSeq and is a predicted model, not a curated record.